AAAUGUUGGGUUAAGUCCCGCAACGAGCGCAACCCUUAUCCUUAGUUGCCAGCGAUUCGGUCGGGAACUCUAGGGAGACUGCCGGUGAUAAACCGGAGGAAGGUGGGGACGACGUCAAGUCAUCAUGGCCCUUACGAGUAGGGCUACACACGUGCUACAAUGGUAUGUACAGAGGGAGGCAAGCUGGCGACAGUGAGCGGAUCUCUUAAAGCAUAUCGUAGUCCGGAUCGCAGUCUGCAACUCGACUGCGUGAAGUCGGAAUCGCUAGUAAUCGCAAAUCA
Molecule: ribosomal RNA, 281 nt
Filed under: gamma proteobacterium BC2_NA3F8
Lineage: Bacteria; Pseudomonadati; Pseudomonadota; Gammaproteobacteria
Description: partial 16S ribosomal RNA
Rfam family: Bacterial small subunit ribosomal RNA
Source: RNAcentral